Erigeron canadensis is the source of this 434-nucleotide long non-coding RNA. RefSeq lists it as uncharacterized. The transcript is spliced from 2 exons. The record is from RefSeq and is a predicted model, not a curated record. NCBI's taxonomy places the organism in Eukaryota, Viridiplantae, Streptophyta, Magnoliopsida, Asterales, Asteraceae.
GUGAAGCUUAUCUUGGCCAGGUCACCCGUGUUGAAGAAGUUGAGGAUAUCCCUUUACGAAAAGGUAACUAAAGAUGAAGAAUUGGAGAUGUUAAGAAUUCUAUUAAGGUCCACACGUGCAUCGCCAGCAGUAAAGAUCUUUGUUGAGCCAGGGGUCUAAAUACAUGUAUGCCUUAUAGUGGCUUGUAAUCACUUUAGGUCCCUUCAUCUUUUUGAGAGCAAUUGCAGAGACCUGAAUGGUCGUGAUAACGUAUAGUUUUCUAGACUUGGUACCUUUUGUUCUGUAUUUUCUUUGCUUGUGUGAGCUUUUCAGUUGCUGGUUCCUCUCACCCGAUGUAACUGAAACGUGAGCCAAAAGAUUAACUUGGACUGUUUUGGUGAUUCAUUGGCUAUGGUUUAAUACUUUAAUUGGCUACUGCAACAAUUUAUUUACCA